Molecule: ribosomal RNA, 435 nt
Filed under: uncultured bacterium
Lineage: Bacteria
Description: partial 16S ribosomal RNA
Rfam family: Bacterial small subunit ribosomal RNA
Source: RNAcentral
AGCGAACGCUGGCGGCAGGCUUAACACAUGCAAGUCGAACGGGCUUCUUCGGAAGUCAGUGGCAGACGGGUGAGUAACACGUGGGAACGUGCCCUUCGGUUCGGAAUAACUCAGGGAAACUUGAGCUAAUACCGGAUACGCCCUUUUGGGGAAAGGUUGACUGCCGCAGGAUCGGCCCGCGUCUGAUUAGCUUGUUGGUGGGGUAACGGCCUACCAAGGCGACGAUCAGUAGCUGGUCUGAGAGGAUGAUCAGCCACACUGGGACUGAGACACGGCCCAGACUCCUACGGGAGGCAGCAGUGGGGAAUAUUGGACAAUGGGCGCAAGCCUGAUCCAGCCAUGCCGCGUGAGUGAUGAAGGCCUUAGGGUUGUAAAGCUCUUUUGUCCGGGACGAUAAUGACGGUACCGGAAGAAUAAGCCCCGGCUAACUUCGUG